GCGCGGGUGGCGAAAUUGGUAGACGCACCAGGUUUAGGUCCUGACGCUCGCAAGAGCGUGCCGGUUCGAGUCCGGCCCCGCGCACCA
RNAcentral lists this transfer RNA (87 nucleotides) under Variovorax dokdonensis. RNAcentral describes it as "tRNA-Leu". It matches the Rfam family "tRNA". From Rfam's summary of the family: Transfer RNA (tRNA) molecules are approximately 80 nucleotides in length. The record is from RNAcentral. RNAcentral also lists the same sequence under 9 other names. Lineage: Bacteria; Pseudomonadati; Pseudomonadota; Betaproteobacteria; Burkholderiales; Comamonadaceae.